RNAcentral lists this ribosomal RNA (505 nucleotides) under uncultured bacterium. Its description in RNAcentral is "partial 16S ribosomal RNA". It matches the Rfam family "Bacterial small subunit ribosomal RNA", at positions 28 to 507 of the family's 1533-position model. The record is from RNAcentral.
GACGAACGCUGGCGGCGUGCCUAAUACAUGCAAGUAGAACGCACAGUUUAUACCGUAGCUUGCUACACCAUAGACUGUGAGUUGCGAACGGGUGAGUAACGCGUAGGUAACCUGCCUGGUAGCGGGGGAUAACUAUUGGAAACGAUAGCUAAUACCGCAUAAUAUUAAUUAUUGCAUGAUAAUUGAUUGAAAGAUGCAACUGCAUCACUACCAGAUGGACCUGCGUUGUAUUAGCUAGUAGGGGAGGUAACGGCUCACCUAGGCGACGAUACAUAGCCGACCUGGGAAGGUGAUCGGCCACCCUGGGACUGGGACACGGCCCAGGAUCCUACGGGAGGCAGCAGUAGGGAAACUUCGGCAAUGGACGAAAGUCUGACCGAGCAACGCCGCGUGAGUGAAGAAGGGUUUCGGAUCGUAAAGCUCUGUUGUAAGGGAAGAACGGGUGUGAGAGUGGAAAGUUCACACUGUGACGGUAUCUAACCAGAAAGGGACGGCUAACUACGUG